This 521-nucleotide ribosomal RNA is filed under the name uncultured bacterium. RNAcentral's name for it is "bacterial SSU rRNA". It matches the Rfam family "Archaeal small subunit ribosomal RNA", at positions 345 to 866 of the family's 1478-position model. The record is from RNAcentral.
AACCUCCGCAAUGUGAGAAAUCGCGACGGGGGGAUCCCAAGUGCCAUUCUUAACGGGAUGGCUUUUCAUUAGCGUAAAGAGCUUUUGGAAUAAGAGCUGGGCAAGACCGGUGCCAGCCGCCGCGGUAACACCGGCAGCUCUAGUGGUAACAAUUUUUAUUGGGCCUAAAGCGUCCGUAGCCGGUUUAAUAAGUCUCUGGUGAAAUCCUGCAGCUUAACUGUGGGAAUUGCUGGAGAUACUAUUAGACUUGAGACCGGGAGAGGUUAGAGGUACUCCCAGGGUAGAGGUGAAAUUCUGUAAUCCUGGGAGGACCGCCUGUUGCGAAGGCGUCUAACUGGAACGGUUCUGACGGUGAGGGACGAAAGUUAGGGGCGCGAACCGGAUUAGAUACCCGGGUAGUCCUAACUGUAAACGAUGCGGACUUGGUGUUGGGGUGGCUUUGAGCUGCUUCAGUGCCGAAGGGAAGCUGUUAAGUCCGCCGCCUGGGAAGUACGGUCGCAAGACUGAAACUUAAAGGAAUU